Molecule: transfer RNA, 72 nt
Filed under: Candidatus Methanoperedens sp.
Lineage: Archaea; Methanobacteriati; Methanobacteriota; Methanomicrobia; Methanosarcinales; Candidatus Methanoperedentaceae
Also listed under: 1 other name
Description: tRNA-Gly
Rfam family: tRNA
About the family: Transfer RNA (tRNA) molecules are approximately 80 nucleotides in length. Their secondary structure includes four short double-helical elements and three loops (D, anti-codon, and T loops).
Source: RNAcentral
GCGACUGUGGUCCAGCGGCUAUGACAGUGGCUUCCCAAGCCUCUAACCCGGGUUCGAAUCCCGGCAGUCGCA